RNAcentral lists this ribosomal RNA (468 nucleotides) under uncultured bacterium. RNAcentral describes it as "partial 16S ribosomal RNA". It matches the Rfam family "Bacterial small subunit ribosomal RNA", at positions 28 to 507 of the family's 1533-position model. The record is from RNAcentral.
GACGAACGCUGGCGGCGUGCUUAACACAUGCAAGUCGAACGGAAAGGCCCUGCUUUUGUGGGGUGCUCGAGUGGCGAACGGGUGAGUAACACGUGAGUAACCUGCCCUUGACUUUGGGAUAACUUCAGGAAACGGGGGCUAAUACCGGAUAGGAGCUCCUGCUGCAUGGUGGGGGUUGGAAAGUUUCGGCGGUUGGGGAUGGACUCGCGGCUUAUCAGCUUGUUGGUGGGGUAGUGGCUUACCAAGGCUUUGCCGGGUAGCCGGCCUGAGAGGGUGACCGGCCACAUUGGGACUGAGAUACGGCCCAGACUCCUACGGGAGGCAGCAGUGGGGAAUAUUGCACAAUGGGCGGAAGCCUGAUGCAGCAACGCCGCGUGCGGGAUGACGGCCUUCGGGUUGUAAACCGCUUUCGCCUGUGACGAAGCGUGAGUGACGGUAAUGGGUAAAGAAGCACCGGCUAACUACGUG